Etheostoma cragini (Arkansas darter) is the source of this 183-nucleotide long non-coding RNA. RefSeq lists it as uncharacterized. The transcript has 3 exons. NCBI's taxonomy places the organism in Eukaryota, Metazoa, Chordata, Actinopteri, Perciformes, Percidae. The record is from RefSeq and is a predicted model, not a curated record.
GCUCUUGGUGUUCUACACGGUUUCUCAUUUCCCUUAAAUUGCAUCCCUGGCUUCUCCACUUGCCUCCCUUCCUCCCUUAGUCCGUCCUACCGAGGAAUCCUGGGAGAGACGCAAGGAAGUCACCGGAGAAGAGAGGAAACAAGGAAAUGGGUUUUAGAGGGAUGAGACGUCCUUUCCUUUGAA